AAUUAAAAUGUAAAUGAAAAAUUACUUGGUUAAGUGAAUUAAUAAAACGGUAGUCUUACUGGAUAUCCUGAGAGAUAGUGGACGGACCGGGUAACUAGGGAACCCUACUGUGAACGUUGUCUCAUACCGGAUGAGGUAUCGAGGAAUGGUAUUUUUAGCACUCAUACUGGACGAGGUAUGGGGACGGUCCGAUUCACCCUCAUAGCAAACGGGGUAUUGAGGGAUAGUAUUUUUGGCGCU
RNAcentral lists this long non-coding RNA (240 nucleotides) under Carica papaya (papaya). Its description in RNAcentral is "long non-coding RNA (CPAP_LNC015505)". Lineage: Eukaryota; Viridiplantae; Streptophyta; Magnoliopsida; Brassicales; Caricaceae. The record is from RNAcentral.